GCGAGAAAACUUUGCAAUGUGCGAAAGCACGACAAGGUUAGUCCGAGUGAUUUCUGCUAAAGAGAUCUUUUGCUAGUUAUAAAACCACUAGUGAAUAAGGGGUGGGCAAGUUCUGGUGUCAGCCGCCGCGGUAAAACCAGCACCUCAAGUGGUCAGGAUGAUUAUUGGGCCUAAAGCAUCCGUAGCCGGCUCUGUAAGUUUUCGGUUAAAUCUAUGCGCUCAACGUAUGGGCUGCCGAAAAUACUGUAGAGAUAGGGAGUGGGAGAGGUAGACGGUACUCGGUAGGAAGGGGUAAAAUCCUUUGAUCUAUCGAUGACCACCUGUGGCGAAGGCGGUCUACCAGAACACGUUCGACGGUGAGGGAUGAAAGCUGGGGGAGCAAACCGG
This 387-nucleotide ribosomal RNA is filed under the name uncultured bacterium. RNAcentral's name for it is "bacterial SSU rRNA". It matches the Rfam family "Archaeal small subunit ribosomal RNA", at positions 339 to 727 of the family's 1478-position model. The record is from RNAcentral.